CGUGUAGGCGGCUCUUCAAGUCUCUGGUGAAAUCUCCCGGCUUAACCGGGAGGGUGCCAGGGAAACUGAGGGCUUGAGGGCAGCAGAGGGGGGUGGAAUUCCCGGUGUAGUGGUGAUAUGCGUAGAUAUCGGGAGGAACACCAGUGGCGAAGGCGGCCCCCUGGGCUGUUCCUGACGCUGAGGCGCGAAAGCGUGGGGAGCAAACA
This 206-nucleotide ribosomal RNA is filed under the name uncultured bacterium. RNAcentral's name for it is "partial 16S ribosomal RNA". It matches the Rfam family "Bacterial small subunit ribosomal RNA", at positions 568 to 774 of the family's 1533-position model. The record is from RNAcentral.